This 249-nucleotide ribosomal RNA is filed under the name Salmonella enterica. RNAcentral describes it as "partial 16S ribosomal RNA". It matches the Rfam family "Bacterial small subunit ribosomal RNA", at positions 1 to 246 of the family's 1533-position model. The record is from RNAcentral. RNAcentral also lists the same sequence under 2 other names. Lineage: Bacteria; Pseudomonadati; Pseudomonadota; Gammaproteobacteria; Enterobacterales; Enterobacteriaceae.
AAAUUGAAGAGUUUGAUCAUGGCUCAGAUUGAACGCUGGCGGCAGGCCUAACACAUGCAAGUCGAACGGUAACAGGAAGCAGCUUGCUGCUUUGCUGACGAGUGGCGGACGGGUGAGUAAUGUCUGGGAAACUGCCUGGUGGAGGGGGAUAACUACUGGAAACGGUGGCUAAUACCGCAUAACGUCGCAAGACCAAAGAGGGGGACCUUCGGGCCUCUUGCCAUCAGAUGUGCCCAGAUGGGAUUAGCU